This is a long non-coding RNA of Boleophthalmus pectinirostris (great blue-spotted mudskipper), 441 nucleotides long. RefSeq lists it as uncharacterized. The record is from RefSeq and is a predicted model, not a curated record. NCBI's taxonomy places the organism in Eukaryota, Metazoa, Chordata, Actinopteri, Gobiiformes, Gobiidae. The transcript has 4 exons.
UCGUCCGUGACCCUGACGUGGCUUACGCCUCAGUCCAGUUCAAACAGAAGGACUCGAACCCUCGCUUCAGGGUCGAGGACGAGGACGUGACCUACAGCGCCGUGAGGAACCCAGAGACCUGCAGCUCGCAAAAACCUGAAGACGCCGUCACUUAUGUCACCGCUGAUUUCAAUAACGUCAAGAAAAAGAAGAGACGUGAGAGUCGCGAGAGCAGAAACGACGACGUGACCUACAGCUCCGUGAGGGCCUUUUCUCCAGAGUGUGACCCAAACGUCCUGUACGCCUCCGUCAAACAAAACAAACCUCGUGCAAAAUGACACUGAGCGAGUUUAAAGAACCCGGAGGACAUCAACAUCAUCAACAUCAUCAACAUCAUCAACAUCAACAUCAACAUCAUCAACAUCAUCAACAUCAACAUCAUCAUCAUCAACAUCAUCAACA